RNAcentral lists this non-coding RNA (23 nucleotides) under Drosophila melanogaster (fruit fly). Lineage: Eukaryota; Metazoa; Arthropoda; Insecta; Diptera; Drosophilidae. The record is from RNAcentral. RNAcentral also lists the same sequence under 3 other names.
CGGGAGUAACUAUGACUCUCUUA